RNAcentral lists this ribosomal RNA (213 nucleotides) under uncultured Vannella. RNAcentral describes it as "partial Bacterial small subunit ribosomal RNA". It matches the Rfam family "Bacterial small subunit ribosomal RNA", at positions 552 to 764 of the family's 1533-position model. Lineage: Eukaryota; Discosea; Flabellinia; Vannellidae. The record is from RNAcentral.
UAUUGGGUUUAAAGGGUACGUAGGCGGAUUUUUAAGUCCGUGGUGAAAGCCUACAGCUUAACUGUAGAACUGCCAUGGAUACUGGAAAUCUUGAAUUCAGUUGAGGUAAGCGGAAUUUAUGAUGUAGCGGUGAAAUGCAUAGAUAUCAUAAAGAACACCUAUUGCGAAGGCAGCUUGCUGGACUUGAAUUGACGCUGAGGUACGAAAGCGUGG